Molecule: ribosomal RNA, 504 nt
Filed under: uncultured bacterium
Lineage: Bacteria
Description: partial 16S ribosomal RNA
Rfam family: Bacterial small subunit ribosomal RNA
Source: RNAcentral
AACGAACGCUGGCAGCGUGGAUUAGGCAUGCAAGUCGAACGGGAUCCGGAAGGUAGCAAUACCGGCCGGUGAGAGUGGCGGAAGGGCGAGGAGCACGUGGACAACCUGUCCCGUGGGUGGGGAUACCGUCCCGAAAGGGGCGUUAAUACCGAAUGGGGCCCCGGACCGCAUGGUCCGGCGGCCAAAGGCGGGGACCGCAAGGCCCGCCCCCCCGGGAGGGGUCCGCGCACCAUCAGCUAGACGGCGGGGUAACGGCCCACCGUGGCUUACGGUUAGCUGGGCUGAGAGGACGACCAGCCGCACUGGGACUGAGACACUGCCCAGACUCCUACGGGAGGCUGCAGUCGAGGAUCAUUCGCAAUGGGCGAAAGCCUGACGAUGCGACGCUGCGUGGAGGAUGAAGGCCCUCGGGUCGUAAACUCCUGUCAUGGGGGGCGAGGCGGAGGCGGUUAACGGCCGCCCGAGUUGACGGUACCCCAAGAGGAAGCCACGGCUAACUCUGUG